This is a non-coding RNA of Triticum aestivum (bread wheat), 125 nucleotides long. The record is from Rfam. Lineage: Eukaryota; Viridiplantae; Streptophyta; Magnoliopsida; Poales; Poaceae.
CAAGUACUCCCUCCGCCCGUAAGUACUUGUCACGAAGAUGGAUAUAAAUGGAUGCAUCUAAAACUAAAAUACAUCUAGUUACAUCCAUUCCUCCGACAAGUAUUUCCGAACGGAGGGAGUAUACU